UUUUAUGGAGAGUUUGAUCCUGGCUCAGAGUGAACGCUGGCGGCGUGCCUAAUACAUGCAAGUCGAACGAUGAAGCUUCUAGCUUGCUAGAAGUGGAUUAGUGGCGUACGGGUGAGUAACGCAUAGGUCAUGUGCCUCUUAGUUUGGGAUAGCCAUUGGAAACGAUGAUUAAUACCAGAUACUCCCUACGGGGGAAAGAUUUAUCGCUAAGAGAUCAGCCUAUGUCCUAUCAGCUUGUUGGUAAGGUAAUGGCUUACCAAGGCUAUGACGGGUAUCCGGCCUGAGAGGGUGAACGGACACACUGGAACUGAGACACGGUCCAGACUCCUACGGGAGGCAGCAGUAGGGAAUAUUGCUCAAUGGGGGAAACCCUGAAGCAGCAACGCCGCGUGGAGGAUGAAGGUUUUAGGAUUGUAAACUCCUUUUGUUAGAGAAGAUAAUGACGGUAUCUAACGAAUAAGCACCGGCUAACUCCGUGCCAGCAGCCGCGGUAAUACGGAGGGUGCAAGCGUUACUCGGAAUCACUGGGCGUAAAGAGCGCGUAGGCGGGAUAGUCAGUCAGGUGUGAAAUCCUAUGGCUUAACCAUAGAACUGCAUUUGAAACUACUAUUCUAGAGUGUGGGAGAGGUAGGUGGAAUUCUUGGUGUAGGGGUAAAAUCCGUAGAGAUCAAGAGGAAUACUCAUUGCGAAGGCGACCUGCUGGAACAUUACUGACGCUGAUUGCGCGAAAGCGUGGGGAGCAAACAGGAUUAGAUACCCUGGUAGUCCACGCCCUAAACGAUGGAUGCUAGUUGUUGGAGGGCUUAGUCUCUCCAGUAAUGCAGCUAACGCAUUAAGCAUCCCGCCUGGGGAGUACGGUCGCAAGAUUAAAACUCAAAGGAAUAGACGGGGACCCGCACAAGCGGUGGAGCAUGUGGUUUAAUUCGAAGAUACACGAAGAACCUUACCUAGGCUUGACAUUGAGAGAAUCCGCUAGAAAUAGUGGAGUGUCUGGCUUGCUAGACCUUGAAAACAGGUGCUGCACGGCUGUCGUCAGCUCGUGUCGUGAGAUGUUGGGUUAAGUCCCGCAACGAGCGCAACCCCCUUUCUUAGUUGCUAACAGGUCAUGCUGAGAACUCUAAGGAUACUGCCUCCGUAAGGAGGAGGAAGGUGGGGACGACGUCAAGUCAUCAUGGCCCUUACGCCUAGGGCUACACACGUGCUACAAUGGGGUGCACAAAGAGAAGCAAUACUGCGAAGUGGAGCCAAUCUUCAAAACGCCUCUCAGUUCGGAUUGUAGGCUGCAACUCGCCUGCAUGAAGCUGGAAUCGCUAGUAAUCGCAAAUCAGCCAUGUUGCGGUGAAUACGUUCCCGGGUCUUGUACUCACCGCCCGUCACACCAUGGGAGUUGUGUUUGCCUUAAGUCAGGAUGCUAAAUUAGCUACUGCCCACGGCACACACAGCGACUGGGGUGAAGUCGUAACAAGGUAACCGUAGGUGAACCUGCGGUUGGAUCACCUCCUUUCUAGA
This 1509-nucleotide ribosomal RNA is filed under the name Helicobacter pylori. RNAcentral describes it as "bacterial SSU rRNA". It matches the Rfam family "Bacterial small subunit ribosomal RNA". The record is from RNAcentral. Lineage: Bacteria; Pseudomonadati; Campylobacterota; Epsilonproteobacteria; Campylobacterales; Helicobacteraceae.